GCCGCCCACAACCCUCUCCCUUAACCAGCCCGCCAUACAAUUUAUGGCCGGAACUCUUUUAACAUUAAAGGUUUAAGGAUAUUUUGAGGCCUGUUUCUGUGUCGGGGUGUGGGUUCAUGGGCCGCAGUGCUGCUGCCCCUUUAAGGCCUGUUUGUGUGUAGGGGUGUGGGUGCAGGGACUGCUCUGAGACAGAAACAUUAUUUGAAUAUUUAUGAGCUGAUGAUCUGAAGGCAAGUGUGACAGAAAAAGACAAUCCCUGCCGCUCUUGGAGCCUAAAAAUCACUUUACCAGGCAGCUUCUCUCUGCCAAGGACUCUGACUGGAAGCAUUGGAAACAGGCAAGAUACUAAAGUGGAAGAUGGGAGGAAGGUAUUCAAGUCUACUGGACGGAAGACAGCGCAGGUACCUGAGAGGUCGCAGCGAUGCCACAGUGAAGAAUUUCAUGCCCUAUUAUCAGAGGCAACUUGCAACGACCUUUCUGAGACGGGUCUCAAAGGAGCUGGACCCGCAAGGCAAACCUGCUCUACAGCUGCUGCAGAGCAAACUCCAGAAGCCACCUGAUGCUCUUCUGCAUGAGGGAUUCCUGACGCAGUAUAAUGGGGACACCUGCAAGUGGAAGAAGAGUUAUUUCAUUUUGCUGGGAAACUGUACCCUGGAGUGGUUUGAUAGUAAAGAGGCCCAGGGAAAAGGAUAUAAGCCCAGAGGAUCCACCACUCUGUCCGGAUACUUGCUGGUGACCUCACUCAGUGAAUACAACAGGCUGAUUGACAGUCUCUGCCAGGGAUUAGUAGUUGACUACACCCACCGAGACCAAGACCCCUUAAAUGGGCCUCCAGAAGAGUUUCUGCUGUUCCUUUAUCAUCCGUUCCGAAAGUCCUUCUGUUUCUGCACAAACUCUGCAAAAUCCCAGCACGCCUGGAAAUCCGUCCUUCGAGAUGGGAUCCGAUAUUGCAGCACAGUUUUACAGAGACAGGACUCCUUUGAAGUAGAGGCUUUCCUGGAAGCUGUGCGAUUUUACAGGCAAGAGAAAGGUAGUUACGGAGCAGGGGAUCUCCUCCUGGGAACACAGCCUGAGAUUCUCAGUAAUGUGCUGAUGGAGGAUUUGCUUCCAGUGCUGCAGUCUCAAGUCCCCCCAAAUCUCAAAGGAUCAGAAAGCAGGAAGAAACAGACCUGGUGCCAGUUCCUAGAGGAGGUUUAUACAUUGGUCCUCAGCCAGGUCUCCAGCGAAUUUCUGGAUUUUCAGAGGGAGAAUGAGAAACUCCACAUUCAAUUGGAAAAGAAGAUUCGCCCUGAUCUGGAUCAGAUGCUGAUUUUAAAGGAUCAGAUAUCUAUGAAACUCCAAGCGGUGAUCCAGAACCCAGUGGAAUCCUGCUGUCACCAAGGAGUAGAGCCUGACCUGGACUGUGUGAUGGAGGAGCUCAUACGCCCCAUUAGCUUAGGAUUUGACAUGGUGCGUUCGCUCUUCACAGACAGAAUUGAUGAGAUGAUCAGACAUGUGCAGAGUUUGCCUACCACAGUCUUCCAGAAAGAGGUUCUCACACUUGGGGAAAUGCCCUGGAAACCUGGAUUCAUGGAGCCAUGUUACGAGAAGGCUAAUCUCUACAAAGACAGUCUGCAAGGACUGAAGGAGAAAUUUCGCUUUCACGGUGUGACAAGUUUAGUCCUUGGAGCCCAAAACCUCAUGCAGCAGCUAAUGCAGAAUUCGGUCCAUACGUUCCACCAGCUUUCAGAGCAACAUCUGAGCUUGGCAACUAACCACAGCCAAAUCACCCAGACUCUGGAAAAGAUCAAAACUCGUGUGCUGAAGAAAUUUGACCAUGACAGCAGUUCCACCAGGAAGCAGUUUGCACAAGAGUGGCUGGUUCAGAUCUUUCUUCCCUUUCUGCUGAAGAAUCUGGAGCCGAGAUGUAAACUGGAGCUGCCCAAGUAUGAAAAUUACGUGUUUGCUGACUUCAGUGGCAUCAUCAAUGUUGAAAAUAUUUAUGAAGAAAUGAUUCUGGCUGUUUUGCAGCAGGCAGUCACCAAAGCCUUGAAAGAGGCUUCAAGUCAAAACAGACAUAAUCUUUACAGUGAUAGCUUCUCCUGUGUUCUGGAUAGCGUGGACAACUUGCUGCAGCAGGACAGAGUCCAGGAACACCCUGAAAUAAGGACAGGAGCCUUGGGUGGUAAUGCCACAUCAGACACCGUGAACCUCAUGUCCUGUCAAGUCAGUGAGACCAUUUCAGACAAGAAAGCAUGGAAAGAUGAAGGAAGCUCAGCUGAGGCUGAAAAUCCUCCCAAAGAUAAAGGGCAGAUCUGCCCAGUAACUUCCCAUUGCCAUAAAGAAGCAGAAAAAUCUUUGAGGGUGUUGCCUGAUGGUAGGAAUUGGAGACACAAGAAGGUCUUGGAACCAGACAUAGGAAGCAGCUGCAUUACUGAACCUGCAGGACAUGUUGCAGAGAAGACUGCAGUUGUGUCUGAGGCUGAAAGCAAUAUGUGCACAGAGGACCCAAAUGAAAACAAAUGUAAUAACAAGUCAUGGAACCCUUUUGCAAGGAGCAAAGAUCUACAAGAGCCACAGAACAUCAUAAAUGAACAUUCUGUAGACAAAGCUGCUGUAGAGAAAAUACGAGAGGAAUGGGGGAGGGCAGUGUUUGAGCAAGGAGGUCAAGGGCAGGAUGGAGAAUUAGAGUUAAAUCCAGCUUGGAUUAAAGGAGCAGGACAGAGUGGUAAGAAUAACCAAAAAUACAGAGAGUUAUUGCAGGAUCAAGAAGGUCCCUGCGAGGUAUCUUGUAACUACACUUUUUUUGCAAGUACAAGUAUGUCCAAGAACCAGAGUCCAAGCCCAGAUAGUACAAAUUCUGACAACUCUCAGGCUAACUGUUGGCCUAAUACCAAUUCAUUGCAGGUUAUAGGUUUGGACAGAGAUACAUAUAGGGACAAUGGAGGUUUAACAGGGGGAAAAUUACAAAUAUCAGCAACAAAUCAUGUGGCAUCAAUUGAGUGGGACGGAGACAAGUUAGGAGAAAAUCAGAGCAGUUGGGAAAUGCAAACAAUAUCAGUGGGUGAAGGCAAAUGCAGGGUCAGGGAAGCUUGCAAUGGGCAAAUGAUCUCUCCCGGUCAAUUUUCUGUGAAAGAAACGAGGGAUGCCACUUGGACACACCGACUUCAGGAACAUGGUGAUGAAAUGAUCGCAGAAUUACGUGUCCAAAAGUUGGUUCCUGCGGAGGGUCUGGAAAGAAAGAUCUAUCAGCUGGAGCUAGGGCACAAUGUUCAGGAGGAAUUCAAGGGGCAUAGGCAUGCAGGUGGACUGGCUGAAGGUAAGUCUGCUCCCUUUUUACUCACUGGAAGCCUGAGAUAUGAAGAUGAGCAUGAGGGUCCUGUCCCUGGGCACCAAGAAGAAUCUAGUCAAGUAACCUGCCAGACCUUGCAGUCCCAACAGGAAAUGAACAAGGAGGAGAUGACAGAGGCAGACUUCAAUGAGCUAGACAAGACUGUUUUUCUAGAGUGUCUAUCCAUAGCUAUCGAAAUGGAAAUCUUCCAAACAGAUCUGCUGGAAAUGGAUCUCGAAGACAGCAGAGACCAGGGAAGUGGUUGUCAACAAACUGAACCUCUGAAAUAGAAGUACAAGGAGCAAGAUCCAACUGACAUUGACCCUCAUGGAGCAGAGACAUGACAAAGCUUAAUACACACAUUCAACUUUCCUGAUACAAUGAUGGAUGCUUCAUAUCCCUAUAUUAGCAAAUAAUGGAGAGUGCCAAGGCAACUGAGGCUAUGAAGGGGCUGCCAGUUACAUGGCAGUUGCAGGUUCACAGGUGGUUCAGCAGCACUGACCAAGACUUAGUGGGAGAUGCAGAGAUUUUCAGUCUCAAGGCCUUACAAAUGUGAAUUGAAAGAACUGGAAUUGGUCUGGCUUCUCAGAGCAGAAAACUAAGCAAAAGCUGAGGGAUUGGAAAGGAAUGAACUGCUCCUUUGUGAACAUUUAUGUAAGACAUGUAAUAUUUAUGCAUAUCAUAUAGUGUAUCUUAAUACCCUCAUGCUCUUAAUUCUCACCUUUCUGCCCUUUGUCCCGGUGUGGCUUUUAAUUCUAUUAGUAAGUGAUAAUACUGAAGGUGUUUGUAAGGGGCCUUCAAGUCAGGGUGUGUAUACAAUACAGUAUUCUGUGGUUAUCUCACGGUAUUGAUGUCCUGGAACAGUGUUUCAGAGAGAGACAACAGAAAUUCUGCAGCUACGAAGACAUCACCAAUAACCCUUCCCAGUUUCUUCAAACAGCAGCAUACACUGAUACAGUUUCUGUCCUGUUCCCAGGGCCAGCUGUAGGCACCAGCGUUCCAAGCACGUGCUUGGGGCGGCACUCCGUGUUUGUUUGGUUUUUUUGCUUGGGGCGGCAAAAAGCCUAGAGCCGGCCCUGCCUGUUCCACUCCCUUUGUGACUCAGGCAGUGCAAAGAGAGUGAAGCCUAGCCCCAUUCCGCUAACUUGGGGCUUCCUGCGAGUACAGAGCUGACACAAUCAGAUCCUCUCACCCUCCUUGGAGCCCCCAGUGCAGUAGGGAGGAUGGAGGUUAUUAGGAAUGGAAGAGGGAGUAGCUGGAGUGUGCUUCGCUACAGCCAUGCUCAGGUGGAAAAAUGGGGCUCCACAUUAUGCAUUGCCAAGCAUAAACUCAAAACAAAAAAUCUGCUCCACUGUAUCUAGCUUCUUUGAAUUUGUUUCUUCCAAGGCAGUUAUAGCAGGGGAAGACAGUGAAGUGGUGUCAUCACUGAUACUUUGGGCCCAACCCUGCUGCUGUUGAAAUUAACAACUCAUGGAGUUCAAUGAGCAGGAUUGGGCCCAUUGUGUAAUAAGGCUCAAGGAGACUGUCUUACAGUGGCCACAAGGAUACCUAUUUAAUCCGUUUAUUACGUUUUGCUAAGCUGGACUGACCCACAGAACCUGAAGUUCAUUGGAAUGGUUGCCAUAACAGAGGUAAUAUCUGUUUUAUAUGUAAAACUUCACCCCAAAAUAGAAGCUACUAAUUUAAAACUUCAGGUAUGUAAAAACCUCUUAGUGAAUUUUUAGUAAUGUUCAUGCCUCAUGCUGACCUGUAAUUUGCUAAGAGAAGGGAACUCUAUCUAGUGUUGUCUUUUUCUAAUCCCCACCAUGCUGUUAAACUUUAAGUUUUUAAACUUUUAUUACAAUAUAUGGCUUAUUAUUUAAUCCAUAAAAGCCUAUGUAUCUUAUACCAACAGGUGUUUACAGUUAAGUACUAAUAUCGUUAGAUAGUGAUGUAAAAAUAUGUAAUCUGGUGUAGUUAUUUGAAUAAACCUAUUAACAUUCAAAGUGUGGUGUUUACAAAACUGUCACUUUAUAAUUUUGUGGUUUUCAAAAAGGGAACAAAUGCAUUCAUGUUUCUGUAUUUCAUAAACACAAUUUCUUGUGCAUCCACCCCACUGAGAUGACUCUUAACUGCUAAUCAAAUGAUACUAAUGAUUUUCCAUGGACUGAAGUUGCACUGAUUGAUAAGAAUCAAAUCACCGGCUUUUAGGUUGCAAUUACUUUACUAACUGCAUUCAUUUCACAUCUUGCACUUUGAAAUUUGGUCUUAUUGAAACCACGGUCUUUUAAGACCCCCAGUGCUAACCUAGUUAUUCAUUCUCUUCAGUACAGGUUUUGUACAAUUCCACAUGGUCCAUUUGUAGGAAACUGGAAUUUAUGCCUUACUUCUUGUUCAAAACAUCUGUUUUACAGUUUGAAUUGGUUGCACUAGUGAGUUGGUGGUGGUUGGUUUUGGAUGAUAUUGCAUUUUAGCUGUAUAUUUUUAAAGAGAAAAUGUAACAUUAGCCACUGUUGUCAGCUGAUACUGAC
Molecule: RNA transcript, 5820 nt
Organism: Mauremys reevesii (Reeves's turtle)
Lineage: Eukaryota; Metazoa; Chordata; Testudines; Geoemydidae
Gene: NIBAN3
Gene name: niban apoptosis regulator 3
Exons: 15
Source: RefSeq, a predicted model, not a curated record